This is a long non-coding RNA of Chiroxiphia lanceolata (lance-tailed manakin), 9228 nucleotides long. RefSeq lists it as uncharacterized. The record is from RefSeq and is a predicted model, not a curated record. The transcript has 3 exons. NCBI's taxonomy places the organism in Eukaryota, Metazoa, Chordata, Aves, Passeriformes, Pipridae.
AUUUCUUGUUUUUACUGGAAAGAGGCUUACCUGUGGUUUUUUGUUUUCAACUUCUGUGGAUUUCCGCUCUUUUUCCAUUAUUACUGUGGCCCUGCAUGUUUCCUGCAGCAUUUUCAGCAUAUUUGCAUUAAGAUGGAGGACUUGGAAAUAUGUAUCUUGAACAAUACCCUCAUUUCGCAAGAGGUCUCAUAAUAACAAGGGAUGAGCAAGAUGCAGUGUUCUUGAUUGUUUAAAUGGGGUUAGGCCUAGCUAAGGUUAUGUUGCUCUUCCUUGAUGCCUGAAAAGCUCAAGUGCUCUUCUUUUAGCACAUACAGACAUUUCUAUGGCUGUAUAGGAAGGAUUAAGGCAGACAAACUUGUUUCUACCAUGUAAGGAAGGUGUCAAACUAGACAAUCCUGAAAGCCUUGUUUUUAAAGCUCCACUUCCCUGGCCAUAUUAGUUCAGGGUUUAGUUACACAAUAGUAAGAUUUCUUAAAUGCAGUAUAUUUGAACAAAGACCUUUCUGUGCAGCAAUCUGCACUUUGUUUAUUAUAAAUUACCUUCUCCUUUGUUUUCUGGUAACUUGUUCUAGAUUUUAAUUCUGUAGGUAGAGCUGCAAGUCUUUUUAGAAUAUUUAGAAAGGGUCUACAGGGAGUUUGCUUUGUGGGAAUAGCUGUCAAAGCCAUCUCACUAGUUUAAGCUGUAAUGAAAGCCAUUUUAAUAUUUUUAUAAGGCUAUUUUUAGACUAAUUUAUGCUGAAGGAAGAGUAGGAGUAGAGUUGCUUUGGCACGAACACGAGGAACAGCAUCCCUAGGUUGGAAGAAUAUGUUCUCAAUGUAAUUUAUUGGUUAAUUAAAUAUGUUUGGGAAGGUCUCUGGGAGCACUGAACAGUGGUAGCCUUGUAUGAUUUAAAUAUGUGUGAGCCACCUUAGUGUGGACAACUGGACAGGUAGGUCUUGGAGAAAAAGUAGUUCCUAAGCUCAAAAAAAGCCAUGUGAUUUAUCCUUAUUAAUAGCUAUGUAGUGCAUAAUUCAGAUAUUUUUUUUUUUAAGUAUUAUGGUGAAACAUGAUGAGAGGAUUAUUCACUCCAGUUACCUGUCCAAGAGGCAGAGGUAGCAAGUUCUGUCCAGUUGAUGAGAGGACUGUGCUUUGAUAACUGUGGGUGAGUGAAUGAAUAGUGGGGACCAGUGGCUGCCAUUUUAGGAUUUACAUAUGGAAAGCAUCAGGCCAGAAAGCCCCUUAGGCUCUUUGUCUCCCUACCCUUUUGUUUCUUAGCCAACUGAAUGCCUCCAUGUCCCACAGACAGAGAAGCCUGUCAGGCUUAGCUUCUCUUCCCUGGUCAUCUGCUUCACCUUGGUUUUGAAAUAUGUCUGUGCUGCUGACCACAAAAGUAAAACUUGGCUUUGAUUUGAGUUUCAUCUUGCAGUGGCUGGUCUCCAUUUGUGGGAGAAACUGGACCAGAGCUUCAAAGCAUCAAAGUGAUUCACAGCUAAUUUUCCUUUUAAGGACCAGAAGGACCAUUAGAUCAUCUCACCUGAUUAUCUUCGGAGGGCUGGUCAGGGCUUAGUCUGCCCCAAGUCUUGUGCUGGACACAGCCAUGGCUGGAGCCCUCCAGCAGAGAGAGGCGUGGGAACAGGCAGUGUCUGUGGAGUGGCAAGUGUGCUGGAAAAUGCUCUGGGCGCAUCUUUUUUGUAUGAAAAUAUAUGUAAAAAAACUUUAACCAAACCAAUACCCAUAAGAAGUCUUGCAUGGAUUGCCUUCCUUUACUUGAGUUCUGAAGGAAAUACAGACAUUGGGUUUAGUGGUGUCCAUCAUCUGUGGAUUUUAAAUAAAAUUUACAGACCAAGGGAGAGAUCAUCUUACCAUAUCUCAGGGCAUGCAGGAAAACAUGCUGCCUUCUACAACAUGUGACUGUUCUGGUGCUUGUGGAAACAGCUGUGCCAAGCCAUGGCAUGGAAUGAAAUGUCAUGACCAGGAGAGAGUAAGGUGUUUUGUAGGCGCUGGUGACUCCCAUUUUGUUGUCAUUAACUGCAAGAGUCUAAGUGAAACUGCAGUGAAAAUCAGCUUUCGCCCUUGCAGGGCUCAUGACGCUGGUUUAGCACAGGGCUCUUGUGGUUCAUGCUGGCAUUGGUGACUGUGAAGUUCUCCUCAGAACUGUCAGUUUUAUAUGCUUUCCUUUGUUCCUUCCUCUCUAAAAUUCAGAUUUUUAAAAUACCCACCCCUUCCCCACCCCUAUGGCAAAUGAUUCUGUAACCAAAGUGCCUGGAGGUUACCCCUUCCUGUGGAACAGGCCAAGUUGUGUUGGCGGGAACAGAGCCAAAAGUGGAGGUUUGCUUUUUGAUUUCCUAGGGACUUAUUUCAGUAAUGAAAUGGAUGGUGGUUGGGUCACUUAACACUUGCGUAUUUUGCAGUUUUUGUCAGUGAGAGGAGACAAAAAGCCCAGCUGCAGCAGCGGUCGUGGAAGCUGCAGGUGUGAGCUUGGCUGGAGGAUAACAAACUGCCAUCUGUGGUGAGGCUUUGUGGUGGUUUUUUUCACAGUCCACUUGCCUAGAAAUGAGAUCAAGAAUACAAAAUGGCAGGAGUAACUGAGGAUGGCUUUCCUCCCGUUUCUGCUGCCUCUCGGGUUAGCCAGGAGUCUGCGAAAGUGUAAGAGUUGGAAUUACAUCAGGCUUAAGGCAGUACCCUGCCAGGGUGUUCAGUCUUUUAGGUACUUUCUUCCCAUGUUGCUUUAAGCAGGUUUGUCCUCUGCUCUCUGGAAGAUGUGGAGAAAUAGAAGAAAAGUUGCAAAUGUUAUUUGCAUAAAAUGUACAAAGAGAAGAAAAGCAGCAGCAUAUUGCUUUGCUUAUUAAUGUAGUUAAUACCCACUUCUGUACCCCUGCUCUGAGGUUUUUAGAGCUGAAUAAGUUGGACAAGUAAGCUUAAGUGUUUAAAAAUGAAAAAAAAAGUUUGAUGGUUGCCAUAAUUAAGUCAGCGAUGUCCAGUAUGUAUUUUAAAUUCCUAGUUCCCGUAUGUUGUUAAAUUUUUCUGUCUGGUAUGCAGCAUGUCUGCUUGUUUACAAAAUGCCUUGGAGCUGCAUGGAUUACCUCGCACUGUUUGCAGAGUGGUUUAUAAAAGUUAGGCAUGUGUUGUUCUGACUAGAGAGAUGUACUUGGAGCUGUGCUCUGGAUUGCACAAAUAAUAGUUUCCAGGAAUGGUCAUGAGGAUCAGCAGGAGGAGCUUUGAAGAGUGUGUGGAAGCAGCAUGAUCUUUGGCUGAAGGGAAGCCCUUUGCUGGUGGCUCGGUUGUUCAGGCUACUCCAAAAUGCAGAGCCUGAGCAGCUGUUUUCCCAAACAGCCUCCUGAAAUAACAGAGAGCAGGAAUCUCAGAAUACUGUCUUUCCUCUCCUUUCCUCGUUACUUGCACUACAAGAAGGAGUUGUACACUGAGGGAACUGGUUUUUUUUUUAAAGUUGAAGACAUUUGCAUAGGGCAAGUUACGUUCACUGCUGUCUACUUUUGAGACAGUUUGUUUUGGAAGUAGAGGCCUUAAGCAGCUGUAAGACCAGAAAUGCAGCACAAUGCAUUACUGACUGUAUUUGUCAUUCUCAUCUAGAGAGAAAACAUGCUGAUUACAUUCAGCAAUUUCUUUUUUUAGCUGGAGAGAAAUGAGAUGCUGGCCUUUAUUCAGCAAGCUUUGUAUGUUUGCAAAUUGCAGUUUCAACUAUCUGGGCAAAAGUGAUGGGGAUUUAGCAAUAUAAAGAAGUCAGUAUCUCACUAUAUAUUCAUGGAGGGGAUUGACUAGUCUUUUCAUAACAACAGAAUUUACAUAUUUAUGGGGCAGUCCUAUAGUUCGGGUAAUUUUUUUAUUGCAUUAAAUUUAAUUAUAUCAACUACUACAGGGCGAUUUUUCUUUUGGUAGAGGCUGCGAGAGUUUCUGUUUAACAAGACUUGAAAGAAUUAACAGAUCAUUUUGCAACAGCUAUCCAGCAGCUAGUACCAUGGAAUUUUGAUUUGCACUCCAGACCACUUCGGUGGGAUGUGUCCACUAUAUUUGGAGUAAACCUUGCAAAUUUGCUUCAAGUGUCUCACAUCAUACAUUCCCAGCGGAUCAUAAGCCUGCAGGUGGUACCACCUGUCAUCUGCUAGGGACUGGAAAUGAGCUAUUUAAGGCUUCAUUGAAAGGAUGUGUAGCUCUUGCAAGUUAGCCAAUGGAAAUUACUAGUAUGGUGGCUUCAUGGAUCUGCUGGGAUUAAUUACUGUAAUAAGCAGGAAGAAAUUGUGGAUCAAGACAGUAUGUAAAAUGUGGAGGAUCCCAGUAUACUCAUUACCCAGCUGGACUAUUGUUUUUCUCCAUAUGCAAGGUUUGAGACAAGUAGGAAGUGUGAUCCUCCUGUAUAAUCACCUGCUUCUGGCACGUGGGACCUCUUUGGCAGUAAAUCGUGGUCAUCCUGUUGAUUCAAGAAGCUGGUUGGUCAAAGGGAGAAUUGCACAGAUCUGCAGAGGUUUGUCUCAGGAUUGAGGCUCAGUGCUUUACUUUAAAUGGGAUGCUCUGCAGGAGGAGCUAGCGCUAGAUCCAUACAUCUGCCAUGCUUUGAGCUUUGUCAGGGCCCUGACCUUGCCAGUUGCAAAAUGUCUCGAAAACAAGAUGAGGCUUAAACUGUGUUUAAAGCUGGAUGAAGAGCACAGGAGCUGAGUGACAAUGCAGUUGCAGGUCAGUAACUGGAGGUUAAUAGCUGACAGUAUUUUUAAUGAACUUUCUGAUUGCAAGACCUUUGAAACAGUGCCUGCAUGCUCAGCACUGUGUGUGGCUGGGCUUGUCUUGGAGGAAGGAGAGAUUUUGUGCCUACAGCAGAAUAAGAGCUUGAGAACCCUUAGCUCUUCGAGUUCCUGAGACACUUACACCACAGAAAUAACUGGAAGUAUAAAAAUUUAGUCCAGAAGCAUCGAUUUCGUUUAAUCCACAAAUCUUAAAACAUCAGUGUUUUGUUUCCAUUAGCAUAAUGCAGAACACAGGUCUUACAGUUUUCCAGUAGCUCUUGCUGGUAUGGGCAUCUCUAAUAGCUCAGACAUGUUUCAUUCAAAUUAAAAAUACAGGGCCUGUUUAUAAACCUCCAGAGCGGCUUUAUGGCACAGACACUUACUGAGGCUACUUGUUCAUUGGGAGAGCGGAUUGGAUAUUUAGCUCUUAAUUCCUAUGAAUAGAGUUUUUCUUAGCUAACCUUAUUUCAAUAGAAGUAAGAGUUAGGGAGGAAAAAGAAAUGGGAGGGAGUGUUCACACUUGUGGAGGGCAGGUUUUUUCGAAAAACUAAAUGUUACAUGGUGUAAAUCGUACACACAUAUGAAAGGUGGAUUUUUAUAGCUGCUGGAAUCAACAUGGCUGUGACCCUUUGAGAUGAAUAAUAAAUUGCAAUCCUAAAUUUAGCACUUUGCAAUUAAGGAACCUCCUUUGCUGAUUUUUGCCAGUGACUGGAAUAAGGGCUGUGCAUUAAGAAUGUAUCCCUUAAAUUUUGCCAGUUCUGUUUGUGAGUAUGUGAUGCUGUAUGAUAUUCUCUAGAAGACUCAAGUGAAUCAGGAUGGUUUCUGGGGCAGCGUCCUGGUGUUCAGGGACAUCCCAAUGCAAAUUCUUGAAUUCAUCACACAUUUUGAUCUUUGUGCUUGCAUGUUUUAUGCUUUCUACUUGGUAGCAAAUGUAAUUUUCAUAUGUGCAAGGGAGAUUGAAAAAUCUUAGAAAGGAGAAAUUUACUGGUUGCUUUUUAAAAUAGUUUCCCAUAAAUGUUAUUGGCAGAAGGUGUUGCAAACUUAUAGCUACAUAAGAAGGAAUUUUGCUACACCCUCUUUAGCAUACUUGGAAGUUGUUUUAUGACACAGAAAGUCAAUUUACUGGACCUGCUAAUACUUUAAGUCUUAUAGAGGACAUAAUUGUAGAAUCACUUAAGUUGGAAAAGACCUCUGAGAUCAUUGAGUGCAGCCAUAAGGUUUGGUGUUUGUUUAAAUUUUUCUCUGUCUGAGUUCUGAAGACAGGAUGUGUUGUUUAAAAUUGAUAGUUCUUGAUUUAGAAAUAAAACAAACUUUGAACAAAAUGUCUACCUUGCAGCUAACAUGCAUGUCAAAAGAAAGGCUCUCUGCUAAUUCAGGUAGGAUUUGUUCCUGCAAAUUAAACUAGCUGAAAACAGGGACAAAAUAACUGCUUUUCCAGCUAUAGAUUUUUGUUGGCUUUACAAUCUCUUCAGACAUGAUGGUCAGACAAAAUAUAAUGUAAGUAUUUAUGUAAAUAAACAUUGUGCCUCGGUGAUAAUGCAGAAAAUCCUAUCAGUUCCGUGUUUGUACUGCUUAACUUCUGGUGAAAGAAAAGUGAUUUUUUUUUUUUUUUUUACACUCAUUCUGCACAUCUUUUUCCAACUCUGUGAAUUGAUAGAGCACAUCUGUGCUACUUGAGAACAAAAAAGUAUGAAGUCAUAGUCCCUUAAAUAGCUUGUAGUAUGAAAAUGCUGAAGACAGCCUUCUUUUCAUCUCCUGUGGGUCUCUUGUAAAGGAUUCUGGAAUCUUGGCUUUGAUUCUUCAUGCAGAGUCCUCACAAUAUCCACAUCUGGGUUAUGAAUGUAGCUGAGAACAGAUCUGCUUUAGAUCUUCAUGGCUAAUAAUAACUUUAAGAAACAAAUACUUAUAGCAGAAGAAUGUUUGUGUGGUCUCUAAAACAGACCAAGACAAAAAGGAGAAUCCUAUAGUAUCGAAAUAGCCUUGAACUGGUAUCAGAUGCCAGAGUUGUUCAAGCAAUUUUCUCUCAAUUGACAAAGAAUUUAUUUUUUAACUUCUCGAUAAAUUCUCUCUGUCACAGUGAAAAUUCCUAUCUCAUCUUUCUUUUGUGGUAUCUGCAUAUCCUCACAGAUAAUCUGCAUUGUAUUCAACACAGUCUCUAUUUUUAAAAGGGCACUUUGCAGAGGUUAUUGUUUCCACUGUUUCCUUUCUGUAAUAAUAUAUGAGGUCCUUUUCACUAGCAUACAUUUUUAAUGAUAUUUUCUUGAUAGCAGGAUGUUACCUGUUUAAAUAGCACUGUUCAGUUUUUCUUAAUAACUGGUAAAUGAUGAAUCUGUUUUUAACAGCUAAUUACUUUUAGUACACCUGCAUCUUGUAAAAAUACCAGCAAUAGCCGAAAUAUGACUACUUCAGGCACAGGAAAACCUUUUAAUUUAAAUAUUUGAGAAACAUAUCAAACACAUUUUGGGUGGGAGGAAGAGAAAAUUGAUGGUUGGACACUUUUAUUUUUAAGUGUCAUGUGGGUUGUGCUAAGUUGUGAAAUAGUAACUAAAAAUGAGAGGAGGAAAAGAGAUUGGCAAUGUUUCCCCAUUCUUCUAAGAGGAAGCAGCAUCGCACAGCUGACCUGGGAAUGUGUGCCAAGAGAUGACAUGAGUGUCUCGGAUUCAAGCAAACGUUGCUGUGGUCUUUGCAGUGUCUGAGGGGUAGGGUGAGACUGGGAGGAGGAAUUCAGGAUUUCCAGUGUUUGAACAGAACAGGAAACAAGAGUCAAGUGAACCUUCUGAUGGAAGGUGGAGGAAGUCAAAGUGACAGAAAAUUCAUUGCAGGUCUCAACAUUGACUUGCCUUGAGUGUGAACUUGGUCCUGGGUGCCUGAAAGAAAAAGAAAAUUCUAAUGGAGUUGUAAUGUUUUACACUGCAAGAGAGGAAACAUUGGAAUAGGCAGUGCCCUAGAUGGGCUGUGGUGUUUCACAUCACGCAGUCCCAUCUGCACUGAAAACAGGCGAGUUCAACAGUAAAUUCAUAGCUUCGAAUUUAUUGAAGUUCAUAUGGCUUUAAAAUCCCAUGCAUCACUGCAGGCUUGGGGAAGAAGGGCUUGAGAGCUGCUCAGCAGAAUGAGACCUGGGGAUGCUGGUUGACAGCUGUGUGGAUACGAGCCAGAAGUGUGCCCAGGGGUGGCUAAGAAGGCCAAUGGCAUCCUGGCUUAUAUUAGAAACUGUGUGGCCAGCAGGAGCAGGGCAAUGUAAAACACACAUCUGUACCUGUGUAAUUAAGACAACACAAAUUCUUUUGAUUUCUCAUUCCCUGCAUCCACCCAAUAGUAAAAGUUUAAAACUAUCAACACCUUAAAUAGAGAGACAGAAAGAUGUAUUUCAUAUAUCCUCAUAUGAGAGUAAAAGACGUAAGAGUUAAACAGAUUCAGGAAUGUAGUGGUAACAGGUUUUUUUAAAGAAUUAAAUAGCUGGCUUGCUCUGCCUUACUCAUUAAGUAUAGCCGUGUACUAAACUUCUUAUUUGCAGUAAAGUAACCAGUAACAGACAUGUUUAGGUUAUAUUUUUUCCAGAGACAAGUCCCUGCAAAUAACUGUAUUUGCUAUAUUUGCACACCCACGUAGGUAUAAUAGGUGUUUGCCUGUUAUUGUUUCGGAUACUUGUUGAACAACCAAAAAGGGUUUCUGGAGUCUCUGACACAUUUGAAAAACAGAGCUUGAAUGGGAGGCUGAGGUUCAUGUCAAUCAUGCAGGGCAGAGUGUAUUUGUUAUCAAACCAUAUGACAAAGGAUCAGAGUUUGGGGGAUUACUUUGGAGGCUUCCCAGGCACGUAAAAGGAAUGUUCAAUCUUUCUACUUUGAUGUAAACUCAGUUUUCAAGUUCCUGUUGAACUUGGGUUCUUCCCAGCCUCCCCCUCAAUAUUCUGUUGGAUCUGUAAUCCUUGAUAUUUCAGUAAAGGAAAACUUCGGUGUUUGGGGUAGCUGAUUUUCAGUUGUUGCUCUUUAUACAUAUUUUAUCAGAACUAAAAUAAUGCUGAGGUAGCACAGUGGCACAGUUAGUAUUAAGAAGGGGGGGGGAUUUGGGUGCAGCUGCACUUUUGCUGUCAUUAUCCAUUUUCACAUGUUGCGACCAGAAACAUUUUGGCUUCCUCUGCCAAGAGGCAGAUUCGUUUAUGUUACUCCAAUUGUGAAACUAAAUUUUCCUUUUUAAAUACUGCAUCAUAAAGUUCUGGUUCAUGGUCAGGAAAACUUUCUUCCAAAAUAUUUUGAGUCUCUUUCCCACAGAAACAGAAUGGGAAUUGAGUAGGUAUUAAAUCAAGCAGCAUCUGAAUACAUAAUUAGUCACCGAAGCCUCAAAUAGAAAACCACUUGGAAGCUUACGUUUUCUUAUUCCAUUCUCAAGCCAAACAAAUGUCUAAUAAGAACAUUAAUUUUGGAUUUUGGAACUGGUUUUUUUCACUACCAUAAAAAGGGACACUUGGUAACCAUUAAUACAGUUGUACAGUAUAGCUGUUCCAGUAGUAGUUUAC